Molecule: ribosomal RNA, 434 nt
Filed under: uncultured bacterium
Lineage: Bacteria
Description: bacterial SSU rRNA
Rfam family: Bacterial small subunit ribosomal RNA
Source: RNAcentral
AACGAACGCUGGCGGCAUGCCUAACACAUGCAAGUCGAACGAGACCUUCGGGUCUAGUGGCGCACGGGUGCGUAACGCGUGGGAAUCUGCCCUUGGGUUCGGAAUAACAGUUAGAAAUGACUGCUAAUACCGAAUGAUGUCUUCGGACCAAAAAUUUAUCGCCCAGGGAUGAGCCCGCGUCGGAUUAGCUAGUUGGUGAGGUAAAGGCUCACCAAGGCGACGAUCCGUAGCUGGUCUGAGAGGAUGAUCAGCCACACUGGGACUGAGACACGGCCCAGACUCCUACGGGAGGCAGCAGUGGGGAAUAUUGGACAAUGGGCGAAAGCCUGAUCCAGCAAUGCCGCGUGAGUGAUGAAGGCCUUAGGGUUGUAAAGCUCUUUUACCCGGGAUGAUAAUGACAGUACCGGGAGAAUAAGCCCCGGCUAACUCCGUGC